RNAcentral lists this ribosomal RNA (521 nucleotides) under uncultured bacterium. RNAcentral's name for it is "bacterial SSU rRNA". It matches the Rfam family "Bacterial small subunit ribosomal RNA", at positions 524 to 1050 of the family's 1533-position model. The record is from RNAcentral.
UACGGAGGAUCCGAGCGUUAUCCGGAUUUAUUGGGUUUAAAGGGAGCGUAGGUUGACGUAUAAGUCAGCUGUGAAAGUUUACGGCUCAACCGUGAAAUUGCAGUUGAUACUGUAUGUCUUGAGUGUACAAGAGGUGGGCGGAAUUCGUGGUGUAGCGGUGAAAUGCUUAGAUAUCACGAAGAACUCCAAUUGCGAAGGCAGCUCACUGGGGUACAACUGACACUGAGGCUCGAAAGUGUGGGUAUCAAACAGGAUUAGAUACCCUGGUAGUCCACACAGUAAACGAUGAAUACUCGCUGUUUGCGAUAUACAGUAAGCGGCCAAGCGAAAGCAUUAAGUAUUCCACCUGGGGAGUACGCCGGCAACGGUGAAACUCAAAGGAAUUGACGGGGGCCCGCACAAGCGGAGGAACAUGUGGUUUAAUUCGAUGAUACGCGAGGAACCUUACCCGGGCUUGAAUUGCAGAGGAACAUAGUUGAAAAAUUAUGGCCGCAAGGUCUCUGUGAAGGUGCUGCAUGGUU